Molecule: regulatory RNA element, 106 nt
Rfam family: TPP riboswitch aptamer (THI element)
About the family: Vitamin B(1) in its active form thiamin pyrophosphate (TPP) is an essential coenzyme that is synthesised by coupling of pyrimidine and thiazole moieties in bacteria. The previously detected thiamin-regulatory element, thi box was extended, resulting in a new, highly conserved RNA secondary structure, the THI element, which is widely distributed in eubacteria and also occurs in some archaea. Analysis of operon structures identified a large number of new candidate thiamin-regulated genes, mostly transporters, in various prokaryotic organisms.
Source: Rfam
UUAUUGCAUUAGGGGUGCCCAUAGUGCUGGGCUGAGAUGUGCAGAGACGCAUGGACUCUAGAACCUGUAAGUUAACGCUUGCGUAGGAAAAUGCACCGAACUUUAA